UUGGAAUACAUGAUUAUUUGAGUAGAAAAUUUUGUGUUAUAUGUCGAACGUAUACGAUGAGGCUUAGAAUCUAAGGAAAUGAAGAAUAAUUUAUGAUUAUGUCACCGAGACGAAAACGAAAACCAGCCGCGGAAGAUCAACCAGAUAAUCGAACGUCGAACGCCAAAGACUUUAAGGCAAUCCUAUUGCUAGGGUAUAGAGGAUUAAGUGACUCAGUAGAAGNNNNN
RNAcentral lists this long non-coding RNA (227 nucleotides) under Panax ginseng (ginseng). Its description in RNAcentral is "long non-coding RNA (PGIN_LNC016368)". The record is from RNAcentral. Lineage: Eukaryota; Viridiplantae; Streptophyta; Magnoliopsida; Apiales; Araliaceae.